Long non-coding RNA from Tympanuchus pallidicinctus (lesser prairie-chicken), 356 nucleotides. RefSeq lists it as uncharacterized. The record is from RefSeq and is a predicted model, not a curated record. NCBI's taxonomy places the organism in Eukaryota, Metazoa, Chordata, Aves, Galliformes, Phasianidae. The transcript is spliced from 3 exons.
GUGGGACCCAAUGGGGUCAAUGGGACUCAAUGGGGUCAAUGGGGUCAUGGUGGGACCCAAUGGGGUCAUUGGGGUCACAGUGGGACCCAAUGGGGUCAAUGGAACUCAAUGGGGUCAAGGAGACCCAAUGGGGUCAAUGGGGUCACGGUGGGACCCAAUGGGGUCAGUGGGACUCUAUGGGGUCAAUGGGGUCAUGGUGGGACCCAAUGGGGUCAUUGGGGUCACAGUGGGACCCAAUGGGGUCAAUGGAACUCAAUGGGGUCAAGGAGACCCAAUGGGGUCAAUGGGGUCACGGUGGGACCCAAUGGGGUCAGUGGGACUCUAUGGGGUCAAUGGGACUCAAUGGGGUCAAUGGG